Molecule: ribosomal RNA, 460 nt
Filed under: uncultured bacterium
Lineage: Bacteria
Description: partial 16S ribosomal RNA
Rfam family: Bacterial small subunit ribosomal RNA
Source: RNAcentral
CCUACGGGGGGCAGCAGUGAGGAAUAUUGGUCAAUGGACGAGAGUCUGAACCAGCCAAGUAGCGUGAAGGAUGACUGCCCUAUGGGUUGUAAACUUCUUUUAUAUGGGAAUAAAACGUUCCACGUGUGGGAUUUUGUAUGUACCAUAUGAAUAAGGAUCGGCUAACUCCGUGCCAGCAGCCGCGGUAAUACGGAGGAUCCGAGCGUUAUCCGGAUUUAUUGGGUUUAAAGGGAGCGUAGGUGGAUUGUUAAGUCAGUUGUGAAAGUUUGCGGCUCAACCGUAAAAUUGCAGUUGAAACUGGCAGUCUUGAGUACAGUAGAGGUGGGCGGAAUUCGUGGUGUAGCGGUGAAAUGCUUAGAGAUCACGAAGAACUCCGAUUGCGAAGGCAGUUCACUGGACUGCAACUGACACUGAGGCUCGAAAGUGUGGGUAUCAAACAGGAUUAGAUACCCUGGUAGUC